CCUACGGGAGGCAGCAGUGGGGAAUAUUGGACAAUGGGGGCAACCCUGAUCCAGCCAUGCCGCGUGUGUGAAGAAGGCCCUCGGGUUGUAAAGCACUUUCAGUGAGGAAGAACGCCUGGUGGUUAAUACCCAUCAGGAAAGACAUCACUCACAGAAGAAGCACCGGCUAACUCCGUGCCAGCAGCCGCGGUAAUACGGAGGGUGCGAGCGUUAAUCGGAAUUACUGGGCGUAAAGCGCGCGUAGGUGGCUUGAUAAGCCGGUUGUGAAAGCCCCGGGCUCAACCUGGGAACGGCAUCCGGAACUGUCAAGCUAGAGUGUAGGAGAGGAAGAUAGAAUUCCCGGUGUAGCGGUGAAAUGCGUAGAGAUCGGGAGGAAUACCAGUGGCGAAGGCGGCCUUCUGGACUGACACUGACACUGAGGUGCGAAAGCGUGGGUAGCAAACAGGAUUAGAUACCCGAGUAGUC
Molecule: ribosomal RNA, 465 nt
Filed under: Vreelandella stevensii
Lineage: Bacteria; Pseudomonadati; Pseudomonadota; Gammaproteobacteria; Oceanospirillales; Halomonadaceae
Description: partial 16S ribosomal RNA
Rfam family: Bacterial small subunit ribosomal RNA
Source: RNAcentral